GACGUAGGGGGCCAGCGUUGCUCGGAAUUACUGGGCGUAAAGCGUCCGUAGGCGGUGCGGCAAGUCGGGAGUGAAAUCUCUGGGCUUAACUCAGAGGCUGCUUCCGAAACUACCGUGCUAGAGUGCGAGAGAGGCAAGUGGAAUUGCGGGUGUAGCGGUGAAAUGCGUAGAUAUCAGGAGGAACACCAGCGGUGUAGACGGCUUUCUGGACCAUUGCUGACGCUGAGACACGAAAGCGUGGGUAGCAAACAGG
RNAcentral lists this ribosomal RNA (253 nucleotides) under uncultured bacterium. RNAcentral's name for it is "partial 16S ribosomal RNA". It matches the Rfam family "Bacterial small subunit ribosomal RNA", at positions 524 to 776 of the family's 1533-position model. The record is from RNAcentral.